CUCUGACAGCGGAUUUGUCUCUGUUAUUAGAUUUGUAACCUUUAUGUAAUGUAAAUAUGUUGAUAUGUCUUUUUCAGUUUGCUGAAAAACUCUUGAAAGGGCAAACAGUAGCUUUUCCAGCCACCAAAAAAGCAGUAAAUGAGCACAGACUGCAAAUUUCAACCACGCUUCUCCUAAAGACUGAUGACCUCAAAGACAGGUGUCACUACUGUGGGGAAGAGGAGCAUGACACAGACCAGAAUUGGGUAACAAAAUCAAUUACAAAUGAUCGCUGCUGCGCAGCGAUGGGUUGGGUCCAGGCUAUUUUUUGCAAAUUUAGGCAAUUCUGAGCAACAAACAGGAGAAUAGGACGACAAGACAGUUGAAAACAAUGUUCAUUUUGGACCACUUUUUGAAAAAAAAAACUGAGUGACGUACUUCAUAAUUUUUUAUAGUUUUAAAUGUACAAAAGUUUCUUCAAUAUUGAGGCUACAGUUUGAUGAAAGUUCUGAAGCUGUGGUUGAUUUGUUAUGAAUUUUCAAAGUUUUGAACUUUAGAUGCUUGCUGUAGCACCACCAUCAGGACUAUUGGCUUGAGUUUACAGUUGAGGUAAUCUGGCAUAAGACUGGACCCAGCUGUUGUCAAGGCAGAUUUCAAAAAUGGUCAAAAUGUCAGAAAUUCUGUUACCUGAACAAAAAUCUGAUAAUACAUAAAUUGCAUCUUGACAGCAUGGAAAUGUUGGUGAUUUGUUUUUAACUCUAAGUGUUUUGCUUCAUAAGAGAAAAUCUGAUGUUUUAAAAAUGCCACUCUUACAUUGACUCCAGUUGUUCCCAUGAGAGCAGAAUUCAAAAUGUUCUCAAAAAUUCAGUUUUUGAGAUAAAAUUCUGAUAUUUGCCAAACUUCAUCAACCAUGACUCCAAAAUAUUCUCUAUUUAUUUCAGGAAGAUUAAAAAGGUAUUUAGCAAGAAUUUGAUAGUAUAUGUUUACAGUGCUGUUUACAGUCAAACAUUUUGAUGCACUGUAGGCUUAAUUUUUGAUAAAUAAAAAAUCAGAGAAACAAGUUUUGUGGAGGACGGUCUGAAGAUGCUCUCUGGCAAGUUUUGGGACAAUUGAGCAAAAAUUGUGGGAGGUUUUGAAAAAAAACUCCUUGGAAUUAAGUAAAUCUGGCAAGGGGCCGGACAUUUCUGUAAAGUUUGGUGAGUUUUCGCCCUUGGGAAGUAUGACUUCCUCGGAAGAAAGAAAGAAGAAAGAAAGAAUUCCUAGGAAUACAAUAGUGUCCUGGCAGCUUAGCUGCCCGGACCCUAACUAGGAUUCAUGAAACAUAAAUAUUGCGAUUUCUGAUGUAGCAUUAUGUUGGACUUUUGUAUUUUAACAAGAUUUUACUAUUUGAAUUCCACAUGGAAUAUGUUUAAACAAUGUAACAUCGAUACGCUAGAAUGAAAAUGUACAGCUUCUUUCCUAAGACAUCUUAUUUUAAACCCAAAUUCUUUAUUUUUCCAGAUUCAGUGUGAAAUUUGCAAGCGAUGGUUCCACCAUCUGUGUGUUGGAGGGCCACCAACGGAAGAGGACUUCUGUUGCCUUGCUGUGAUGUAUAGGUUCUAUCCGUUAGGUAAGUUCUACUUUUAUGUAAGUGAGUGCAUAUAUAUACUAUAUAUACAUAUUUAGUAGUGAGUGUGUAUGUGUGUGUUAUAUCACAUUUAUUACUUUAUCCCUGAAGGGAAAUUCAAUUCUCAGAUAGCCCAUUUACCAUUAAUCGAAGACUUUAAAGGAGAACUUCGGUCGAUUUAAACAUGCAGCUUCAUUGCUCAAGCUACCCUUGACUUGCGAGUACCGAAGACGCGAACAAAUUUGGUCCAGCCAUUACAGAGCUCCGUGAACGGAGACU
RNAcentral lists this long non-coding RNA (1864 nucleotides) under Sparus aurata (gilthead seabream). RNAcentral's name for it is "lncRNA (ENSSAUG00010009396.1)". Lineage: Eukaryota; Metazoa; Chordata; Actinopteri; Spariformes; Sparidae. The record is from RNAcentral.